GGGUCGUUAGCUCAGUCGGUAGAGCAGUUGACUUUUAAUCAGUUGGUCGCUGGUUCGAAUCCAGCACGACCCACCA
RNAcentral lists this transfer RNA (76 nucleotides) under Aeromonas caviae. RNAcentral's name for it is "tRNA-Lys". It matches the Rfam family "tRNA". Rfam says of the family: Transfer RNA (tRNA) molecules are approximately 80 nucleotides in length. Their secondary structure includes four short double-helical elements and three loops (D, anti-codon, and T loops). Lineage: Bacteria; Pseudomonadati; Pseudomonadota; Gammaproteobacteria; Aeromonadales; Aeromonadaceae. The record is from RNAcentral.